This 253-nucleotide ribosomal RNA is filed under the name uncultured bacterium. Its description in RNAcentral is "partial 16S ribosomal RNA". It matches the Rfam family "Bacterial small subunit ribosomal RNA", at positions 524 to 776 of the family's 1533-position model. The record is from RNAcentral.
UACGAAGGGGGCUAGCGUUGCUCGGAAUUACUGGGCGUAAAGGGCGCGUAGGCGGCACUGUUAGUCAGGCGUGAAAGUCCUGGGCUCAACCUGGGAACUGCGCUUGAUACGGCAGAGCUAGAGGAUGGAAGAGGGUCGCGGAAUUCCCAGUGUAGAGGUGAAAUUCGUAGAUAUUGGGAGGAACACCAGUGGCGAAGGCGGCUCACUGGACCGGUUCUGACGCUGAGGCGCGAAAGCGUGGGGAGCAAACGGG